This is a long non-coding RNA of Zerene cesonia (dogface butterfly), 1230 nucleotides long. RefSeq lists it as uncharacterized. The record is from RefSeq and is a predicted model, not a curated record. The transcript has 2 exons. Lineage: Eukaryota; Metazoa; Arthropoda; Insecta; Lepidoptera; Pieridae.
AGUGGAGAGGGGGAGCCAAUAAGGAUUGCGCUCAGCCACUCCCCUAAGUCUGUACAGCGGUGUACCCUCGAUGUAUCGUGUCUCGAACUGCGGGCUAUCUCCGCGGCCGCCGUUGCCUUUCAUGUUAUGAACUACGAGCACCAUGCGGGAUUCCCACAAACACAUGAGAUUUUGUUCCUAUCAUAUUUUAGGGAGUGAACACCCACAUCAUUAUUUCAAAAGUCCACUAAGCAUUAUACUAAAUCCGUAUCGAUAAUACUGGUAUGCCUGUUACAUGAUUUAUAGCCGUGAGAAAAGUUUUGUUUGAAAAAAAAAAUAAAAUUCAUACUUAAAUUGAGAUUUCGUCUGGAGAAAAUGUGCAAGACGAGUAAGCGUAGAAGCGUAGCGCGCGCUCCGGCUACAGCGUGCGCUCUUCGAUUCCGCUGAUUGCCGCCGACAUUGCUUAAUUAUCAAUUAACAGUUAUUGCUGGGGAUUAUUAAUAAAACAUUCGCCCUGACUAUUGGCACUUAGAUUAACGUUGAGGGAGUAAUGGCGCAUUUCAACAAUUUCGGUUGUUAUUUAAUUGAAGUCAAUUUAGAUGAUCAGAGUCUAUUUAGGUUGGUGCUGGCACUCGCCAACGGGAUCUCUGCUUCAUUGGGCUCAUUGGAGACUUUCAGACAACACGAAUUGCACUCGUUGAUGCACUUGUGCAUGUGCAAUUUGUUUUUUGGUUAAAACGUGCCACGUGGAAUGUCUACUACACAAAUACUUACUGUGCAAGCGCUAUUGGAAUUAGUGACUCAAGUCAAGUCAAAGUUUUGGUGAUCAGUUCGAAAUGACUUAUCAUUAUCCGGUUCAGUGUCUAAGGUGUUUUGAUAUGUAUUGUGUAGUGACGUGAGGUGACUAUAAAUGUGUAAGUUAGAACUGCUGAAGCAGAAAAAAGCCAUAACAAUAUAACGACACAGGCAAACAUGUAUCGCUAUAAACGAAGAAUGCUUCGGAGACUCUGGGUACGCAUCGUUUGAGCCAAUAGUGUAUCGUAUACAACAUGGUUAGAAUAACUGCCAGAAAGGUGCAGGCAGCCAAACAUACAUUGUGCUGGAGACCUAAUGACCAGCCACAGCGGAGACGAUCCUCGUCAUAUAUAUCUGAAGGAAAAAACCAGCAGAUUAAGGAAAUAUCCAUUUGUAUUGGAGAGAAAUUGUAAUUUUAACAAUGAUUUGUUUGAAUAAAGAUAAAUUAUAAUUUUA